UCGUGUAGCUUAGUGGUAGAGCACUUGCCUAGCCUGCCCAAAGACCUGGGUUCAAUCCCCAGCACUGAA
RNAcentral lists this transfer RNA (69 nucleotides) under Marmota monax (woodchuck). RNAcentral describes it as "tRNA.Undet". It matches the Rfam family "tRNA", at positions 5 to 66 of the family's 71-position model. Rfam says of the family: Transfer RNA (tRNA) molecules are approximately 80 nucleotides in length. The record is from RNAcentral. Lineage: Eukaryota; Metazoa; Chordata; Mammalia; Rodentia; Sciuridae.